This is a non-coding RNA of Xyrichtys novacula (pearly razorfish), 1093 nucleotides long. NCBI's taxonomy places the organism in Eukaryota, Metazoa, Chordata, Actinopteri, Labriformes, Labridae. The record is from the annotation of a GenBank genome assembly.
CUGGACUACUAACCUACUAUUGAUAUGGUAUGAAACAAAGGAGCAAGAACUUAAAUAUCAGACACUUACAAACCUUUCGGAACUUUAUCAAGGAUACGUUUGAAAAAAUGUCACGGACAAGAGUACAUAGCUUAACUGAACACAAAAAAAGAGGACAGAAAGUAUAUAUAGAGCAUAUUUAAAUAUAUUUAUAUUCAAGAUAUUAUUUGUAUUUUAUCUCAAUGUCUUUCAUCUUUCCACAUAAGUGAAUAAUACUCUUUGAAACGAAAAAGUACAGCAAGUAUAUUUUCAAUGGUACACAAGAGGCGUUAUAAUAAUUUAACAAAACUUGAUCGAUAUGCAGCUUGUUGUCAGAUAUUUUAGUGUAUUUGAGGUUUCAUUGACAGAAACAUACUUUGAUAGUGUACAAAAUGAAACUUUAGAGGUCAUGAGACUUUACUGCAUGAGAAGUGGAUUUAACCUUGCAGUGCAGCAGUUUUUGAGUCUCUGGUCUAACCUGAGGUAACUUAAGGAAAAAUGCUGUAAUUGACAGAUUAUAGGUAACUCUAGGAAAAUGCAGUAUUUAAUUGUUUAUAGGUAGCUCAAAGUAAAUGCAGUAUUUGACUGUUUAUAGGUAACUCUAAGAAAAUGCAAUAUUAAAGUUUUUAUAGGUAACUCUGGGAAAAUGCAGUAUUUAAUUGUUUAUAGGUAACUCUGGGAAAAUGCAGUAUUUAAUUGUUUAUAGGUAACUCUGGGAAAAUGCAGCAUUUAAUUGUUUAUAGGUAGCUCAAAGUAAAUGCAGUAUUUGACUGUUUAUAGGUAACUAAGAAAAUGCAAUAUUAAAGUUUUUAUAGGUAACUCUGGGAAAAUGCAGUAUUUAAUUGUUUAUAGGUAACUCUGGGAAAAUGCAGUAUUUAAUUGUUUAUAGGUAACUCUGGGAAAAUGCAGUAUUUAAUUGUUUAUAGGUAACUCUAGGAAAAUGCAGUAUUUAACUGUUUAUAAGUAACUCUGGGAAAAUGCAGUAUUAAACUGUUUAUAGGUAACUCUGGGAAAAUGCAGUAUUAAACUGUUUAUAGGUAACUCUAGGAAAAUGCAGUAUUAAUCUUUUUAUAGG